This 474-nucleotide ribosomal RNA is filed under the name uncultured bacterium. RNAcentral's name for it is "bacterial SSU rRNA". It matches the Rfam family "Bacterial small subunit ribosomal RNA", at positions 355 to 825 of the family's 1533-position model. The record is from RNAcentral.
UCGAGAAUCUUUCGCAAUGCCCGAAAGGGUGACGAAGCGACGCCGCGUGCGGGAGGAAGGCCUUCGGGUUGUAAACCGCUGUCGGGAGUUAAGAAAUGCAAGGAUGUUAAUAGCGUUCUUGCUUGACUAAGGCUCCGGAGGAAGCCACGGCUAACUCUGUGCCAGCAGCCGCGGUAAUACAGAGGCGGCAAGCGUUGUUCGGAAUUAUUGGGCGUAAAGAGCACGUAGGCGGCUGUGUAAGUCGGUUGUGAAAGCCUUCCGCUCAACGGAAGAACGGCAUCCGAUACUGCAUGGCUUGAGUGUGGGAGGGGAGAGUGGAACUUCUGGUGGAGCGGUGAAAUGCGUAGAUAUCAGAAGGAACACCGGCGGCGAAGGCGACUCUCUGGUCCAUAACUGACGCUGAGUGUGCGAAAGCUAGGGGAGCAAACGGGAUUAGAUACCCCAGUAGUCCCUGAGCGGGCUGGCAAGGCGCAU